This 206-nucleotide ribosomal RNA is filed under the name uncultured bacterium. RNAcentral describes it as "partial 16S ribosomal RNA". It matches the Rfam family "Bacterial small subunit ribosomal RNA", at positions 568 to 774 of the family's 1533-position model. The record is from RNAcentral.
UGCGUAGGUGGUCUUGUAAGUCAGAAGUGAAAGGCUACGGCUUAACCGUAGUAAGCUUUUGAAACUGCAGGACUUGAGUGCAGGAGAGGAAAGUGGAAUUCCUAGUGUAGCGGUGAAAUGCGUAGAUAUUAGGAGGAACACCAGUGGCGAAGGCGACUUUCUGGACUGUUACUGACACUGAGGCACGAAAGCGUGGGAAGCGAACA